This 959-nucleotide long non-coding RNA is filed under the name Struthio camelus australis. RNAcentral describes it as "lncRNA (ENSSCUG00000004053.1)". The record is from RNAcentral. Lineage: Eukaryota; Metazoa; Chordata; Aves; Struthioniformes; Struthionidae.
CAAAAGCUGAGCGCUGUUUAAACCUUCUCCGCUUGUCCUUUGAGUUUCUGGAGCCUUCCAACUCUAGUGAGGUUUUCACAGCUCCAUUCCUCUGCUCAAAGUAUUUCUCUUCAUGUGAUUUAUUCCUGGCACCAUUGGCUCUUCGUGAUUACUCAGAGCCAAGGAGCCUAACAGAGUUCUGCUUCCUCCAGUGUUUCACUUCUAUCUGAUCAGAAUUGUAGAACAUGAUCCCCUGCACAAGAAAACAGCCUAUUUCUAAAGGCUUUUCUGAGAACCUCUUACAUGUAAGAUCCUGCUCAGCAUGAAAACAGGGCAUCAUUAUCUAUCAGGGAAGAAUGCCACAGACCUGCAGGCUGAGAAACGAAUGCAGAAGGGUUAUACCAGGAUGCUUUUACAUUUUGGAUGGCUGUACAGGAGUGCCUCUUGAGCUGCCUGAGGGACUGCUGGAUCAUCUUCUUUCAGGCCAGAAUGAGCACAAGGUUGGAGUCGAUGGGGAGGACUGAAGACAACUGCUGGGGUCAAGGUCUCCUCGCAUGUUCCCUGUUGUGUCCCCUGCUGUGUCUCCUCUCUUGGGCAUCUUCACGUGUUCCUUCCUGUUUCUCCUCGCCUGAUGGCUGCUGCCUUUUCUCAGACAGCUUUCAGCAGUGGCACCACAUGCUCCUCUGACUAGCUGAAGUUUUGGCACAUGUUGGGACAUUUCUAUCCGUUUCAGAGCUGAUUGCAACCAGCCGUGACAGACAUAGGGCAGUUCGUGGAACUCCUUGGCACAGAUCACCCCUGCAGCCAUCAGCUAUUGAAACUCUGCCGUUUACGCCUAAUACAGUGCUUUCAUAGCAUGUUUUCACAGUUCUACUAGGUCAGGACUGUCAUGGGAUGAACUUCAUAAACAUCUUCUUAUAGCAUGCGCAGACUGAUUAGGGAAUAAUAAACAUUUUUCCAGUGUAUAUUUGUAUAUAAGU